GACGAACAUUACUUCCGAAAUUUCCCAAAACUGCAAAAAACUUCUCCGGCAGGUUUUUGGAGACAUUACCGGAGAACGGCGCCGUUUUUGUUCAUCGGGAUUUUCCUAUAUCAAUCGUUGGCUCCUUCACUGCUUAAUGUUAUAGACUCAUCGCAACAAUCUUCUACUUGUGAUUGCUUCUCUCUGGGUGCACUGGUUUUUUGAGCUGGUGUUGUUGAAACAAUGGGUAGUUCAUUUAACGCUCAGAUAUUAGUUGAGAAGCUUGCCAAGCUCAACAAUACGCAAGCAAGCAUUGAGACUUUAUCACAUUGGUGUAUCUUUCA
This is a non-coding RNA of Camelina sativa (false flax), 323 nucleotides long. NCBI's taxonomy places the organism in Eukaryota, Viridiplantae, Streptophyta, Magnoliopsida, Brassicales, Brassicaceae. The record is from RefSeq and is a predicted model, not a curated record.